AGAGUUUGAUCAUGGCUCAGGAUGAACGCUGGCGGCGUGCCUAGCACAUGCAAGUCGAGCGAUUCUCUUCGGAGAAGAGCGGCGGACGGGUGAGUAACGCGUGGGUAACCUGCCUUGUACACACGGAUAACAUACCGAAAGGUAUGCUAAUACGAGAUAAUAUGCUUUUAUCGCAUGGUAGAAGUAUCAAAGCUUUUGCGGUACAGGAUGGACCCGNGUCUGAUUAGCUAGUUGGUAAGGUAACGGCUUACCAAGGCGACGAUCAGUAGCCGACUGAGAGGGUGAUCGGCCACAUUGGAACUGAGACACGGUCCAAACUCCUACGGGAGGCA
RNAcentral lists this ribosomal RNA (332 nucleotides) under uncultured bacterium. Its description in RNAcentral is "bacterial SSU rRNA". It matches the Rfam family "Bacterial small subunit ribosomal RNA", at positions 8 to 350 of the family's 1533-position model. The record is from RNAcentral.